UACGGGGGGGGCAAGCGUUGUUCGGAAUUACUGGGCGUAAAGGGCUCGUAGGCGGCCAACUAAGUCAGACGUGAAAUCCCUCGGCUUAACCGGGGAACUGCGUCUGAUACUGGAUGGCUUGAGGGUAGGAGAGGGAUGCGGAAUUCCAGGUGUAGCGGUGAAAUGCGUAGAUAUCUGGAGGAACACCGGUGGCGAAGGCGGCAUCCUGGACUACUACUGACGCUGAGGAGCGAAAGCCAGGGGAGCAAACGGG
This 253-nucleotide ribosomal RNA is filed under the name uncultured bacterium. Its description in RNAcentral is "partial 16S ribosomal RNA". It matches the Rfam family "Bacterial small subunit ribosomal RNA", at positions 524 to 776 of the family's 1533-position model. The record is from RNAcentral.